UACGGAGGGUGCAAGCGUUGUUCGGAAUUAUUGGGCGUAAAGAGCUCGUAGGCGGUCUGUCACGUCUGCUGUGAAAACUCGGGGCUUAACCCCGGGCCUGCAGUGGGUACGGGCAGACUAGAGUGCGGUAGGGGAGACUGGAAUUCCUGGUGUAGCGGUGAAAUGCGCAGAUAUCAGGAGGAACACCGGUGGCGAAGGCGGGUCUCUGGGCCGUAACUGACGCUGAGGAGCGAAAGCGUGGGGAGCGAACAGG
This 253-nucleotide ribosomal RNA is filed under the name uncultured bacterium. RNAcentral's name for it is "partial 16S ribosomal RNA". It matches the Rfam family "Bacterial small subunit ribosomal RNA", at positions 524 to 776 of the family's 1533-position model. The record is from RNAcentral.